This 271-nucleotide long non-coding RNA is filed under the name Oncorhynchus mykiss (rainbow trout). RNAcentral's name for it is "lncRNA (ENSOMYG00000077365.1)". Lineage: Eukaryota; Metazoa; Chordata; Actinopteri; Salmoniformes; Salmonidae. The record is from RNAcentral.
UAGUCGGUCGACCGUGUGUGUGCACGUAGGGGUUCUAGUCUGUCGACCGUGUGUGUGUGCACAUAGGGGUUCUCGUCUGUGUGUGUGUGUACGUAGGGGUUCUAAUCUGUCAAUUGUGUGUGUGUACGUAGGGGUUCUAGUCGGCCGACCGUGUGUGCGCGUACAUAGGGGUUCUAGUCUGUCGACCGUGUGUGCGUGCACUUAGGGGUUCUCGUCUGUGUGUGUGUGUACGUAGGGGUUCUAAUCUGUCAAUUGUGUGUGUGUACGUAGG